AUACGGAGGGUGCGAGCGUUAAUCGGAAUUACUGGGCGUAAAGCGUGCGUAGGCGGUUUGUUAAGUCAGAAGUGAAAGCCCUGGGCUCAACCUGGGAACGGCUUUUGAGACUGGCAGACUCGAGUUGAGUAGAGGGGAGUGGAAUUUCCGGUGUAGCGGUGAAAUGCGUAGAGAUCGGAAGGAACACCAGUGGCGAAGGCGACUCCCUGGACUCAAACUGACGCUGAGGUACGAAAGCGUGGGUAGCAAACAGGAUUAGAUACCCUUGUAGUCC
This 274-nucleotide ribosomal RNA is filed under the name uncultured bacterium. Its description in RNAcentral is "partial 16S ribosomal RNA". It matches the Rfam family "Bacterial small subunit ribosomal RNA", at positions 523 to 796 of the family's 1533-position model. The record is from RNAcentral.